GAAUGCUCCCAAGAACAACCUUAUUUCUUAUUCGAUUCAAUGUUAGAUUUAUGAUCUCGCAGCUCCUUAAUCACUCUCUUCCAGAAAUCUUGUAGUGGAAUCCGUCUGGGAAUCUGAUGAUCGGCGACCGAACAAUCUUGCCUCCCUUCACCAUUCCCCACCUGCAAUCGAUUCAUUACGAUUAUGUAUAAUGACAUGCAGGAACGUCGCCAGGAGCACCCUGCUGUACUCUGCCCCGGCGCAUUGCUUCAUUCCUGAUCCAAACGGCAUGAAAUGCUUCGCCGCGAAGCUCGGUUCGAUCUCCUGAAAUUCCCAGAAGAACAAUUACGGGGUUCAAGUGAAGUCCGGCUGUGGCAAUCAUUAUCACCCAUCCUUUGGGGAUUGUGUAGCCUGCAGCAGUAGAAUUUUAGUCCAUAUUUGGGGAUUUAAUUCUUUUCAAGCAAUUAGGGGUUGGCGUUUACCGUUUACAGGGAUGUCUUUCAAUGCACGGCGGAAGAAUCCGGGGGCGAUAUUCCCCAGCCUCAGGACUUCAUUGAUGACCUGAAAGAUUUCAGUUGCAUUCAUGAUGGAACUUCGAACAGGAACAUGAGGUUUAUAAUAGUUUCUGAAAACAGGGCACAGCUUUGGGGGCAAUUAAUCAGACCUGAAGUGUGAAUGUCAUUGAUUUGUACUCAUUCCAUGUCAGUUCCGAGUCUGGAUUUUCCCUCUUCUUGAUGAUUCCUUCGUGCUCCGCCUGAUUCGCAAUGAAAAUGCAUACACUAUCAGAUGAAUGCUUGUGUUUGUCUAUAUAUAUAUAUAUGUAUAUGCAGAGAGAGAAAGGGAGCUGAUUUCGCACAAUGAGUUCCUCCAAAACUUUGGGAUGUUCUGCAAGCAGCUUGAAAGCCAGAGCCAGAGUGGUCGAAAUGGAAUCAGAAGUGACAAAUAGCAGCCCGAACAUGAGUUGAACGAUGAAGUCCUCGUUUAAGAAUGAUUCGGUGUUCUUGUCCUUGAUGAUAUGGUCAAGUAGAUCUCCAUGGUGUCUUUCAGAUUCUGCAAGCCUUUUUGUCACCACGUCCCGCAUCAUCGUCCUCACUUUCUUGUGGAUCUGCAUAGACACAGUCCUUCCUUUGUUCCAGGAAUGUUGAUAGGGAACGACAUCAGGCCAUCCACCAAGUCACGGAACAUUUCACUUAUACACAUCGGUGCAUCCCCACUGAAUAUUUGCUUCGCAGCAAAGUCGAUUGCCAUCUGAGAUAUACGGUACCAUACAAUGUUUGGAUGUGAUUUGAAGUUUUGAUCAUCUAAAUAACGACUGAUUCUUGAAAUAUACUUUUGAUUUGAUACAAAUUGAUGGUUAGUUUGAGAGAAUAGUUACAGAGUUCUUGACAAAAAUGACUGAACAAGUAUCGAAUCCUUUUGGUAUUUCAAGUCAACUGAAAGGGAAUGCGAAAGUUACCGUGACAGCUUCACUUUUGACUUCAACAGACGCCUGGCUCGACCAACCGUCAAGAGUUUUCCUAACCAUAGUUUCCAUCUGAGGAAGAAGUUUUGUCCUAAGAGCUUCAACACCAAAGUGAUUCAAAGUCAAGUUUCUUGUGUACUUCCUCGAAGAUUGGCUCGCCUGGUCGAACACCUCAGCAAAGGUGUCCAUAGACCACGUGUCUACCAACUUCCCAUCCUGUCGUAGAAGGAAGUGAUUGAACUCAGGAUCUACGGUAAUGAUCACCGGCCUCCCUGCCACAUUUGUCCGAAAAAUAGGACCAUACCUGAGACAAUAUUGGUAAAAAGGAAUCAAAUGGCGUCACACAAUGUUCAAUGGGCGGGAGGUCAAGAGAGGCGCUCGGGAUGACUAGCUGGAUGGUUUCUCCGAUGAGCGGGAGGCCCAUGGAUCCCGGAGGGAGGACACCAUUGCACUUGGGGUUCCUCCAUCUGUAAAUCCAGUGUGUGGCAUAAAUGGCAGCCAAUGUACCAAUCAAGACAACAACUGACUGCAGAUUAAACUGUAAGUCUUUUAGGACUGAUAAUACUGUUUCCAUUGAGUGUUUUUGGGCACAAUAUAUGUUUAUAUCUCUGUGUGUGUUUUGGUUUUGUGGGAGAGUUUAGAGGUGAAUAUGAGAUAUGAAUAUUUGUGGGGGUGGGGGGUGUAAUUUAUAGAUGAAUGUGGAAAGUGAUUUUAUGAUAUUUACAAUGUGGUUGAUUGGUAAUGUUUUGUUUCACAUUUUGGUUAUUUGGUACAAAUAUGAGUCACACAGUUUGUGGAAAAAGACACAGAAUAGAACUUUGGGUUAUCAUAGUUUGAAUGCACUUUUGGUUUGAAUGUGCCCUUUUUUGUCAUCUCUUUUUGAUAGAUUUUUAUUUGUUAUAUAUGAAUCAUGUGAUGGGAAUGUA
Molecule: long non-coding RNA, 2367 nt
Organism: Andrographis paniculata
Lineage: Eukaryota; Viridiplantae; Streptophyta; Magnoliopsida; Lamiales; Acanthaceae
Exons: 5
Source: RefSeq, a predicted model, not a curated record